UACGUAGGGCGCAAGCGUUGUCCGGAAUUAUUGGGCGUAAAGAGCUCGUAGGCGGUCUGUCGCGUCUGGUGUGAAAUCCCAUGGCUCAACUGUGGGCUUGCAUCGGGUACGGGCAGACUAGAGUGCUGUAGGGGAGACUGGAAUUCCUGGUGUAGCGGUGGAAUGCGCAGAUAUCAGGAGGAACACCGAUGGCGAAGGCAGGUCUCUGGGCAGUUACUGACGCUGAGGAGCGAAAGCAUGGGGAGCGAACAGG
This 253-nucleotide non-coding RNA is filed under the name Promicromonospora soli. RNAcentral describes it as "partial 16S ribosomal RNA". It matches the Rfam family "Bacterial small subunit ribosomal RNA", at positions 524 to 776 of the family's 1533-position model. RNAcentral also lists the same sequence under 4 other names. Lineage: Bacteria; Bacillati; Actinomycetota; Actinomycetes; Micrococcales; Promicromonosporaceae. The record is from RNAcentral.